UGAGGUGUUUGCACGUGUUCGACUAGAAUUGUGGCGGAGAGUCAUGCUCAGCACGUAGCGGUGGCGCAAUACGGUACUCACUGCUCAGUGGUAAUAACAACAACAACAACAAGAGUAACAACUGAAACGCAUUGCCACCCCUUGAGGCUGGAUCAACCACUAGCGGGCAAUGUUGUUGUUCAUGGUGGUGAUGGUGCAUCGCAUACUAUAGUGAUAACAACAACAAGAUAUUAGGUGACAAACAAACAACCCUUGAGUUCAAAUCGAGUUUUUGUUGUUUUUAUUGUGCAUUUUCUAACAAACGAACGCUGUGUGGCGCAUCGUGAAUUUUCGAAAACGCGUUGAAAACUACGUCUUUGCGAUUCUUAAAUUCGCCAGCGAGACACAGUGCUACAGUGCGCUGGGGUAGGCCAAGAAGCAGUUUGUAAGACCAAAUGCACUCUUGAUAUCUAUAACUACAAUGAAAAAUUGUUCAAAAUCGCAAAUAUCUUAGGAAAUAUUGAAGAAUAUAAUUUAGAAAAGAGCCAAAAUUCGAGUUGCGAAUCAAGAUUGGCGAACUAGCGAGAAUAGUAAAAACUAGCGAAUUUACUACAACAAAAAUACAACAACUUUGCGAAGUACGCUUGUGGCGUGUUAAGUGUCGAGAUUAAAGCGGCAAUAAAAA
This is a long non-coding RNA of Bactrocera neohumeralis, 664 nucleotides long. RefSeq lists it as uncharacterized. Lineage: Eukaryota; Metazoa; Arthropoda; Insecta; Diptera; Tephritidae. The transcript is spliced from 2 exons. The record is from RefSeq and is a predicted model, not a curated record.